CGUUUUAGAAAGCCGAAUCCAGCUCAGGUACGGGGGAACCAGUUUUAUGGGGUGAAACCUGAUUAGCACUGGCUUUUCAGGUAGGGUGCCUGCAACCCUAACCCGUCAGCUAACCUCGGAGGCCAAGGAGAGGGGAAAC
RNAcentral lists this small RNA (139 nucleotides) under Sporomusa sphaeroides. Its description in RNAcentral is "c-di-AMP sequence". It matches the Rfam family "c-di-AMP riboswitch aptamer (ydaO/yuaA leader)". From Rfam's summary of the family: This family represents a conserved RNA structure found upstream of the ydaO and yuaA genes in Bacillus subtilis and related genes in other bacteria. The ydaO/yuaA element is thought to act as a genetic "off" switch for the ydaO and yuaA genes in its native state. It is believed that the element may be triggered during osmotic shock leading to activation of ydaO, a predicted amino acid transporter gene, and members of the yuaA-yubG operon which code for KtrA and KtrB K+ transporters. Lineage: Bacteria; Bacillati; Bacillota; Negativicutes; Selenomonadales; Sporomusaceae. The record is from RNAcentral. RNAcentral also lists the same sequence under 2 other names.